RNAcentral lists this ribosomal RNA (210 nucleotides) under Triticum aestivum (bread wheat). RNAcentral's name for it is "partial small subunit ribosomal RNA". Lineage: Eukaryota; Viridiplantae; Streptophyta; Magnoliopsida; Poales; Poaceae. The record is from RNAcentral.
AUGCCAAACUGUCUGGGAAUGUUGGGAAUGAAAAUCUUUCUGAUUUUGAAGAUUUCCCGCCGGAAAAUUUCCCGCCUGGAGGGCUUGAUUACGGUGAUGCAUUGCAAGAUGCUUCUAGCAUGGAGGAGGAACUACCGUCGUCGUCAAACACUGAUAGUGCAGAAAGUGGAAAUGUUGUUAAGGUUGAUAUGCUUUUCUUCGCUGUUAUGA